This 253-nucleotide ribosomal RNA is filed under the name uncultured bacterium. RNAcentral's name for it is "partial 16S ribosomal RNA". It matches the Rfam family "Bacterial small subunit ribosomal RNA", at positions 524 to 776 of the family's 1533-position model. The record is from RNAcentral.
GACGUAGGAGGCGAGCGUUGUCCGGAUUCAUUGGGCGUAAAGAGCGCGCAGGCGGUCGUUCAAGUCGCGUGUGAAAGCCCCCGGCUCAACUGGGGAGGGUCACGCGAUACUGAUCGACUCGAAGGCAGGAGAGGGUAGUGGAAUUCCCGGUGUAGUGGUGAAAUGCGUAGAUAUCGGGAGGAACACCAGUGGCGAAGGCGACUACCUGGCCUGUUCUUGACGCUGAGGCGCGAAAGCUAGGGGAGCAAACGGG